This 1233-nucleotide long non-coding RNA is filed under the name Equus caballus (horse). RNAcentral describes it as "lncRNA (ENSECAG00000042499.2)". Lineage: Eukaryota; Metazoa; Chordata; Mammalia; Perissodactyla; Equidae. The record is from RNAcentral.
GGGAAACUCUCUGAUUCGUGUGCAGCAGUGGCAUGCGGUAAAUUUAAUUCUGGCCGGUCUGUGUAAAUAUAAAUAACGCGGCUAUUUUCACGCCACAAUGAAAGAAUGCAACAGAAAACGAAGGAGGAACAAACAAAUGAUAAGAUGAGCUCUUUUUUACGAAGCAGUAGAAAGUAUCUCAUCAAAUAGCACGCAUGCCUGGUUCCUUAAAGUAGCAGUUACAUUCCUAAACCAAAAUACUCCAAUCAUAUUAAUAGGGCGGCUUAAAAAAUAAUCUGGACAAGAUCCUGUUGGGGAAAUAUCCACCCUCGCUUCUGCUCCGAUCAGUACUUUCAUGGUAUUUAUUACACAGCCACAGGGUGGAGAUGCAUCAAUUUUUAAAUCUUUAGUCAGGAUUGGAGACUUAUGGCAGGUUCUGGGGGAAUGUUUCAUUAAGACCCCGUCUAAAGUUCCUUUGGUGACUCGUUGCUGGGUCAGCGCGCCGCGCGGCCCAGGGUCCGGAGCUCCUGCCCCUUUGUUACGCAGUGGACCCCGCCGGCAGGCCCGGCCCCACGCCCACGGGCACCUCUGGGCUUCCAGAAACAGCCCCGGAGUCCACACGGGCUCCGACCGCCGAGCCGGGGUCUGGUCACACGGGCAGGACACUACACCCACGCGGGGAUGCCCGGGGCCGGCGCCCUCCAGCACCUCCCACCCAAACACCCGCGGUGCCCCCGGCCCGGACCGGAUCAGCAGGUUUCGACUUGAAUCCGAAAGCGCCUCUUGUGCCCAUUCUUUGCAGGAGGACACUCGGAGGAGCCAGCGUCUCUAUUUAGACUGCCGUGUGCCUAUCUAGCUGCAGACUCGGGUAAAAGCGUGUCCACGUCUACGGCAUACAGCUGUGCAAAGCAGAAGCCUGCGGAUGCGCGGGGCUGGUCGGACUUAGUGUGCAGACACAUGGGCGCAUGCACGCGCGCGCGCGCACACACACUCACACCCCAAAUUACCUCCGGAAUGGAGAAAGCCGCUGCGGAUUGGCCGACAGAGCCGUCAGUCACACCCAGGGGGCAGGGAGAUUUUGCAAGGCUGUUUCCUUCCCCCCCCCUCCCCACCCCCCCGUUUCAUUUAAUGGUAAAACAACAGCAGAGCUCUGAAAGUUAGCCAUCUGCGCCGAGAGAGUUUGGCUUCUUUAACGAGGGGGAUGUCAGACAGUAUCCAUUUAGGUAUAUUUUGUACUUCCACAGUGGAUGAAAA